UACAGAGGCCCCGAGCGUUAGUCGGAAUCACUGGGCGUAAAGGGUGCGUAGGUGGCCAGGUAAGUUUGAUGUGAAAGCUCGGAGCUUAACUCCGAAAUGGCAUUGAAUACUAUCUGGCUUGAGGGUCGGAGGGGAGACUGGAAUUCUCGGUGUAGCAGUGAAAUGCGUAGAUAUCGAGAGGAACACCAGUGGCGAAGGCGGCUCACUGGACCGGAACUGACGCUGAGGCGCGAAAGCGUGGGGAGCAAACAGG
Molecule: ribosomal RNA, 253 nt
Filed under: uncultured bacterium
Lineage: Bacteria
Description: partial 16S ribosomal RNA
Rfam family: Bacterial small subunit ribosomal RNA
Source: RNAcentral